Long non-coding RNA from Micropterus dolomieu (smallmouth bass), 1063 nucleotides. RefSeq lists it as uncharacterized. NCBI's taxonomy places the organism in Eukaryota, Metazoa, Chordata, Actinopteri, Centrarchiformes, Centrarchidae. The transcript is spliced from 2 exons. The record is from RefSeq and is a predicted model, not a curated record.
UGCUGGCGUUUUCAGCACAGCUGCUGAAUCACAUGGCCCCAUUCCCUCGCCUGUCAAAAGCUGAGUGUGCGCUGCGGAUUGAGUUAAGUGUUCCUCACUGUACAAAACAUCAGUAAAACACCUACACAAUAACAGUGGUGUUCAGUGUCACGCAGUAAAUCACAAUUUAAAUAGUGAAGUUAAGAGUAUGAAAACUUUUGGGAAUGUAUCUGAGUAAAUAUUGCUUUCAGACAUUCACGGUGAGUGGAUUUCCCUGGAUUAAACGUUGUGGUGUGCUGGUGCUUUCUGGUUUUAAGCUGCGUCUCAGUUUCCUGCCGACAGUAAGGAGGAUGGAAGAGAGGGUUGCCGCCGUUUCAUCUCUUGCUGCAGCUGCUCCUUCAGGGUGGACACCUGCAGUCAUACAGCCUUUGACUCUGUGUCGGUGAGCUCGCUCUCUGGUGCCCAACGUUCGCUCUACGUCCCUGAAGCUGGACUUCAGUCUCUCGGCCUCCCGCUGGGCCUCGUCACGCUGCCUCACCAAACUCUCACACAGACUGUUUGACUGCUCCAUCUCAGCCAGCUGAGUCUGCUCAAAACACACACACACAAAUAAGUGUGAGACCAAAAUUUUAACAAAAAGUAAAAAGUCUGUCUAAGUGUCUAAACAAUGGAGAGACUUUGGUUCAGUUCAGAUCAAAAGCUAACCACCCAGCAACAUGUUGGAGGGCUCUGCGGUGACCUGAAGGUAAACCAUACUUGUAUUUUCUGGAGUUGAUCGAAAUCUUUUUUGGAACAGUGUAAAUCCAACUUUUUAUUUAUUUAUAAACAUUUUUAUUACCAACAAUUGUGCUGUGAUUUACCUACAAGGAAUAUUGUGGAGGCUGUGCAAAGAAGAGAUAGAUACCUAGCAAACAUUUGUUAAAAUGUAACUUUAAACCAGCAUAAAAACUUGUGAAGAAAUUAUUUGAUAUUUUUCAGGAAAUGUAUUUAAUGGAAAAUUUUGUAUGUUGUACUUAUGGUACCGUCGCAUGUUGUUGUUUCCGGAUCUGAAAACCCAAUUAAAAUCUAAAAAAAGGGGAAAUGA